This 229-nucleotide ribosomal RNA is filed under the name uncultured bacterium. RNAcentral's name for it is "partial 16S ribosomal RNA". It matches the Rfam family "Bacterial small subunit ribosomal RNA", at positions 568 to 796 of the family's 1533-position model. The record is from RNAcentral.
UGCGUGGGCGGACUAAUAAGUCAGUGGUGAAAUCUUUCGGCUCAACCGGGAAACUGCCAUUGAUACUGUUAGUCUUGAGUUCGGUUGAGGUAGGCGGAAUGUGUAAUGUAGCGGUGAAAUGCUUAGAUAUUACACAGAACACCAAUUGCGUAGGCAGCUUACUAGACCGACACUGACGCUGAGGCACGAAAGCGUGGGGAGCGAACAGGAUUAGAUACCCUGGUAGUCC